AGAGUUUGAUCCUGGCUCAGAACGAACGCUGGCGGCAGGCUUAACACGUGCAAGUCGAGCGCAUCCUUCGGGGUGAGCGGCAGACGGGUGAGUAACGCGUGGGGAUGUACCCAGAGGUGUGGAAUAACUGUGGGAAACUACAGCUAAUACCGCAUACGCCCUUCGGGGGAAAGAUUUAUUGCCUUUGGAUCAACCCGCGUCAAGAUUAGCUAGUUGGUAGGGUAACGGCCUACCAAGGCGACGAUCUGUAGCUGGUCUGAGAGGAUGACCAGCCACACUGGGACUGAGACACGGCCCAGACUCCUACGGGAGGCAGCAGUGGGGAAUAUNGGACAAUGGGCGCAAGCCUGAUCCAGCCAUGCCGCGUGAGUGAUGACGGCCUUAGGGUUGUAAAGCUCUUUUAACAGGGACGAUAAUGACGGUACCUGUAGAAUAAGCCCCGGC
RNAcentral lists this ribosomal RNA (444 nucleotides) under uncultured bacterium. Its description in RNAcentral is "bacterial SSU rRNA". It matches the Rfam family "Bacterial small subunit ribosomal RNA", at positions 8 to 497 of the family's 1533-position model. The record is from RNAcentral.